GAUAGCAUUAAUUUUGAGGAAGAUUAAUAUUAGUCUUUUAAUGUUCAUUAUUUUCUGAAGAAGUGAAUCCUUGUAGCUUUUGAGAGCUAACAUGCCCUUCCCACUGGUAUUUAUUCGAGCAAAGGAAAAAAUGAAGAAGGCGUAGAAUAAACUCCUAAGACUGUUCAAGAAUUACUGGCAUUAUUUCUCUCUGCAUCACGUGUGAGCCUGGGUUGCCUGCUAUUCCUGAGGCAGAGGAUCGAGGAUGAAAGUCUGUGUGUCAGAGCCUGUUUUCACAACUGCAUUUGGAGAUCUGUCUUAUUGAUUAGGAAAAAAAGGGGGUGGGAAUAGGAGUGUGAGGUGAGGGGAGGACCGACUGACUACUGGCUUAUUGCAGCUCAAGACAUUUUCUUCCGGAAAGAUGUCAAACAACUGAGACACAGCAACAGAGGAAGUAGAAAGGUGGAAAAAUAAGAAGAGGGACCCUUUGGAAGAAAUGAAGGCAUUCCUUAUGAGAGCCUUGAGGUUUUUUUGGUGUUUUUUUUUUUUUUUUUUUCUUCUAACAUCUGACCCACAAGGGCUAGAGUGACAGCGUCAUGCAAAUGCUGCAGUCCAGCAGGUCUGAGAGAGGGUGGAUGCUAGAGACUGAACGGCUUCCCGAAGAGCACUGAGUUUUCUAUGCCAGAUUCUGCUCCAGUGGCUAGGACCUUUAUGGCUGCUGUUUCUUUUGCUCUGGGAUCUGAUGGAGAAAAAAAAAAAAAAAAAACCACGGUGGAUCCUGUCCCUAAAGUAGAAAUUUUCUUUUUCAUUCUGCAAACAAGGCUAAAGAUCGGAGGAGAAUGAAUGCAAAAGUAAUUCAGGAUUGUGGUCGUGCCAUUAAAAGUAUUCGGCUUCAGAACAAAAUCAUUCGGGAAAUCCGAGCAUUUCUUCUUUACUGUAUCGACAGUAUUUGAAAGUUAUGUGUGCUUUGAGUAAUCUGGUUCAAGUGACAACAAUCUCUGCAUGUCAAUGUUUUCUGCAGCUUAUGGAGUGAAGUUUAGUUUUGCCAUUGGAAAGGAAGAAGCUUUUUGUAGCAGUCUGUAGAAGGAUUAAAUGUUGAACGUGGGGAAGAGGCAAAAAGUGAAUACAUGCCCAAAGGUUAUCCUUGCAUCGUGAAUGGGUUUAAAGUACUCUGCAAACCAGGGCCCACCUGAACAGUACGACUGAAAUUAUAAUGGGGAAAUAUUUCAAUUAGAAGCCCCUUAACAAGCAUUUAAUCCUUCUUUCAGGCAUUAAGGAAAAUAUAAUAAAAUUGUUACUGUACAAAUCUGUUGGAAGCAGAUUUUAACCCAUUUAUAAGAGGCUUCCCUCUAUUCCCCCCUGCAUUAUAAUAAUACGACUGCUUGCAAGAUGAGGCAGUGAAGAUUUUUUUUUCCUGUGUUCUUUGUUUUUGCUUUUCAAAAGUUAAGGACUGUACUCUCAGAAAAGUCUGAUCGGUCAGCUGAUACAUUGUUUGAAUGUAUGUAUGCGUCUUGCCUGCUUAUUUGAUCUUUUCUGCCCCCUACUUGAAACUGUGAUUUGUCUAUCUGGGGGGAAGGAGGGGUUGCUGAUUUGGGGGGGAGGUUGUUUUUAGGGUUUGCUUUGGGGUUGUGUUUUUUGUUUUUUUUGUUUUUUUUUUUUUAACUAUAGCAGUGAAAGUUUUGCUGACAGCGGUUAUGACUACUAAGCAGUUCAGUUUAUUGGAAGAUGAAUUCUACUGGACCAUGUCGGACUUUUCCUAGUCCCUGAGACCCUAACUUGUGAGGUUUUUUAGCAACAAUCACAAGUCAGGCUCUUGGGACCUAGGCGGAGGGGAACCAGCAGCUUUGGACUGUGAUUGUUUCUCUGCAGAAUUUAGAGAACCAAAGGAGCUUUCCUUGUCUUGAAGGGUAAAAAGGAAAAUAUACUUAUUUCAAAUGUUAAGAAACACAACUGUUCCUAAAAGAAAAAAGAAAAAAAGAAAAAGAAACUAAGCAACUGUUAUCCAUUGUGCAAUGUUAGGAAGUUACAUAUUUAUAUGUUUAGAAAAUUGGUCUAAAUGUCACGUAACAUUUAGGAUUAAAAUUUAAUCUGAAUACCAGUUUGCACCUAAAGAAAAAAAACAAAACAAACCCAACAACAAAAACAAUUCCCACUCAAAACUGAUACUAAAAUAUACAAAAGGCUUCUAACCAUAAUAUUAUUAUUAUUAUAGAAAAUUCUGAUAAUUACCACAAAGUAUAGAGUCAUCCUGACUGUUGCAGCAUUAACUUUUAAAACAUAAAACAAAAACACUGAUGUUUGAGGCCUAGAAAACAUUCAUUCUAUUGUUUGAAUAAUGAUUUCAGUCUACAGGAAAACUGUUGCUUAGCUUUUCCUGUAACAUGGGACAAAGAGUAUUUUGUAGUUAAUUGCCAUCUUUUUUCUUUGUCCAAGUGAGAACACAAUAUGGCAUUUAAAAUAUUCCCUCAUUUAAUUUACAUUUUAAUCUGAUACUGAAUAUUGGUUUAAAAAUCAUAUUACAGCAUUAAAAUCACUUUGCACCCAGAAUCACUUUCUUGUACCAGUUCAACUUGAAGGGUGCCACCCAUACUCUAAGUACCAGUCUCGACUUCUAGCUUCUCCAUCACUUUUUGCAUUUUUCACUCCUCUGACAAAAAGCAGUGUGAGCUUUACAUUGUCCCUCAUGUGUUAAGUACUCCACUAACUUUGCAUAAGAAGAUUCACAAGCACACAAGGUAUUUCACAAGCAACACUGUUCAUUAAACUCGAACUUCCUAUCUACAACACAGAAUUUGAUUUGUAUUUCUUAAUAUUUUAUAGGCGGGUUAGUUCUGAGCAAUUUUUCUCUGUUUCCUGUGACUAACCAACAUGCUGCAAGACCUUGUUGAUACAUCAGACUUCACUGAAACAAAGACUUCACACAGAUCAGGCAUCUAAACUAUUUGUUCAUUUCAGAACUGGUAUUUUGGCUGCAGUAUAUUUUUUCCACUUGUGUGGGAGGAAUUGUGUUUUAUUGUAAGCAUCAACACUAUUGUUAAAAUAAAUUGUUCUUAUCUGUUAGUAUAAUA
Molecule: long non-coding RNA, 3047 nt
Organism: Empidonax traillii (willow flycatcher)
Lineage: Eukaryota; Metazoa; Chordata; Aves; Passeriformes; Tyrannidae
Exons: 2
Source: RefSeq, a predicted model, not a curated record